This 423-nucleotide ribosomal RNA is filed under the name uncultured bacterium. Its description in RNAcentral is "bacterial SSU rRNA". It matches the Rfam family "Bacterial small subunit ribosomal RNA", at positions 355 to 775 of the family's 1533-position model. The record is from RNAcentral.
UGAGGAAUAUUGGUCAAUGGGCGACAGCCUGAACCAGCCAUCCCGCGUGAAGGAAGAAAGCGCUAUGCGUUGUAAACUUCUUUUCCAGAGGGAUAAAAUGAUGUACGCGUACAUUACUGAAGGUACUCUGGGAAUAAGCAUCGGCUAACUCCGUGCCAGCAGCCGCGGUAAUACGGAGGAUGCGAGCGUUAUCCGGAUUUAUUGGGUUUAAAGGGUGCGUAGGCGGGACAAUAAGUCAGUGGUGAAAACCUGCAGCUUAACUGUAGACUUGCCGUUGAUACUGUUGUUCUUGAGUAUGGUCAAGGCAGGCGGAAUGUGUAAUGUAGCGGUGAAAUGCUUAGAUAUUACACAGAACACCGAUAGCGAAGGCAGCUUGCUGGGCCGUUACUGACGCUGAUGCACGAAAGCGUGGGGAUCGAACAG